This 1138-nucleotide ribosomal RNA is filed under the name uncultured Eubacterium sp. RNAcentral describes it as "bacterial SSU rRNA". It matches the Rfam family "Bacterial small subunit ribosomal RNA". Lineage: Bacteria; Bacillati; Bacillota; Clostridia; Eubacteriales; Eubacteriaceae. The record is from RNAcentral.
AGGCCUAACACAUGCAAGUCGAGGGGUAGCAGGAUGUAGCAAUACAUUGCUGACGACCGGCACACGGGUGAGUAACACGUAUGCAACCUACCUUCUACAGGGGAAUAGCCCGGAGAAAUUCGGAUUAAUACCCCAUAACGCAGGGAUACCGCAUGGUAAUAUUUGCUAAAGAUUAAUCGGUAGAAGAUGGGCAUGCGUUCCAUUAGCCAGUUGGUGAGGUAACGGCUCACCAAAGCUACGAUGGAUAGGGGAACUGAGAGGUUUAUCCCCCACACUGGAACUGAGACACGGUCCAGACUCCUACGGGAGGCAGCAGUGAGGAAUAUUGGUCAAUGGACGAGAGUCUGAACCAGCCAAGUCGCGUGAAGGAUGACGGCCCCACGGGUUGUAAACUUCUUUUGUAUGGGAGUAAAAAGAUGGACGUGUCCAUUAUUGCAAGUACCAUACGAAUAAGCAUCGGCUAACUCCGUGCCAGCAGCCGCGGUAAUACGGAGGAUGCGAGCGUUAUCCGGAUUUAUUGGGUUUAAAAGCGAUAAGUAAUCCACCUGGGGAGUACGCCGGCAACGGUGAAACUCAAAGGAAUUGAACGGGGGCCCGCACAAGCGGAGGAACAUGUGGUUUAAUUCGAUGAUACGCGAGGAACCUUACCCGGGCUUGAAAUGCAUCUGACCGCUUAAGAAAUUAGGCUUCUAGCAAUAGCAGAUGUGUAGGUGCUGCAUGGUUGUCGUCAGCUCGUGCCGUGAGGUGUCGGCUUAAGUGCCAUAACGAGCGCAACCCACAUUGUUAGUUACUAACAGGUCAAGCUGAGGACUCUGAACAAGACUGCCAGCGUAAGCUGUGAGGAAGGUGUGGAUGACGUCAAAUCAGCACGGCCCUUACGUCCGGGGCGACACACGUGUUACAAUGGAUGGUACAGAGGGUCGCUACCUAGUGAUAGGAUGCCAAUCUCGAAAGCCAUUCCCAGUUCGGAUUGGAGUCUGCAGCUCGACUCCAUGAAGCUGGAUUCGCUAGUAAUCGCGCAUCAGCCAUGGCGCGGUGAAUACGUUCCCGGGCCUUGUACACACCGCCCGUCAAGCCAUGGAAGNCUGGGGGUACCUGAAGUACGUAACCGNCAAGGAGCGUCCUAGGGUAAAACUAG